GACUACUGGGGUAUCUAAUCCUGUUUGCUACCCACGCUUUCGUACCUCAGCGUCAGUUCUAGUCCAGGGAGUCGCCUUCGCCACUGGUGUUCCUUCAGAUAUCUACGCAUUUCACCGCUACACCUGAAAUUCCACUCCCCUCUACUAAACUCUAGUCCGCCAGUUUCAAAUGCCGUUCCCAGGUUGAGCCCAGGGCUUUCACAUCUGACUUAACGAACCGCCUACGCACGCUUUACGCCCAGUAAUUCCGAUUAACGCUCGCACCCUCCGUAUUACCGCGGCUGCUGGCACGGAGUUAGCCGGUGCUUCUUCUAAAGGUAAUGUCAAGCUACCGGGUAUUGACCGGUAGGUUUUCCUCCCAAUUGAAAGUGCUUUACAACCCUAAGGCCUUCUUCACACACGCGGUAUUGCUGGAUCAGGCUUUCGCCCAUUGUCCAAUAUUCCCCACUGCAGCCCCCCGUAGG
RNAcentral lists this ribosomal RNA (464 nucleotides) under uncultured Methylobacter sp. RNAcentral describes it as "partial 16S ribosomal RNA". The record is from RNAcentral. Lineage: Bacteria; Pseudomonadati; Pseudomonadota; Gammaproteobacteria; Methylococcales; Methylococcaceae.